This is a long non-coding RNA of Dreissena polymorpha, 1045 nucleotides long. RefSeq lists it as uncharacterized. NCBI's taxonomy places the organism in Eukaryota, Metazoa, Mollusca, Bivalvia, Myida, Dreissenidae. The transcript is spliced from 3 exons. The record is from RefSeq and is a predicted model, not a curated record.
AUCAAGCCUCUUUUGAUUCCCCCAUUACUGGGCAAGACUUUGUUGGUAUUUUCCUGACAAAAAUCGAUGCAAUCAAUUUAUGAUUUGUGUAUCCAUGGCAACAUGCACGAGGAGAGCAAUCAGAGCUAGGAAAUAUACCCCGAAAACACUUGCAGAAGCCUCCAAACUGGUCCAGAAUGGCACCAUUUUGCUUAACUCAGCUUCCAAGUCCUAAGGCAUACCUAAAAGCACUUUGCACGAUUUUCUUAAGGGGAGGUACGCAACAAACCGACAUGGGCCUAGAACUGUUCUUACUGAAGCUGAGGAAACUCGCCUCGCUGAUUGAGUGUUGGAAAUGUCAAGAAUAUGAUAUGGCCGUACAAGACAAGAACUGUAUUUAACAUUGAAGAAGAUUCUUGACGACGAUGGGCGCAAAACACCAUUUAAAGAUAACAAACCUGGAAAAGACUGGUACAACGUUUUUGCUAAACGGCAUCCUUAGCUUGUAGAAAAAACGUGCGGAAAUAGACUCCUAUACUUACCAUAUUCAAGCUGCCGUAACAUACGCUAUGUAAUGCACAUAACUAUAAUGAACAUAAGAAAAUGUAGCCCAUACUCUGGUAAAAUUGAUAUGCAUACAUAGUCCCGAAAUACACUCAUAUGAUCGGCGCUAGUAAGAAUCUCGCUUAAGUGUUCGGAAAUACCCUCCUCCGCUCUAACUUAUGUUUUUGAACGUAUCUAUGUUUAAGCUGUUAGUUGUUUAAUCUUAUUAGCUGUUUCUUUUCUGGAAUUAUUGGAAACGAUUGGGUUAUUUAAUCAAGCACUCCACAUUGUUCUGUACUGGAGACUGAGCGUAAGGUGUAGAAUGGGGGCAUAUGUUUUAGAUUCGAUUGUGUUUUAACAAAUAAUGUCCGUCCGGUGUAGAAAUGUGUGGUCACUGUUAUUGUCUUUUCUGGACACGGUUGUUUCGGACAAUAAAACACAAUUACAAGGGCGUUAUAAAUAAUGAAACACUGAUUUGCAAAAGAAAGCGUUUAUUGUGAAAAAAAUAAAAACAUAAAUGAUA